CCUGGCGGCGAUAGCGCGGUGGUCCCACCUGACCCCAUGCCGAACUCAGAAGUGAAACGCCGUAGCGCCGAUGAUAGUGUGGGGCUUCCCCAUGUGAGAGUAGGGAACUGCCAGGC
This 116-nucleotide ribosomal RNA is filed under the name Pectobacterium brasiliense. Lineage: Bacteria; Pseudomonadati; Pseudomonadota; Gammaproteobacteria; Enterobacterales; Pectobacteriaceae. The record is from RNAcentral.